CCAGAUGAUCAAUGCAUCAUCCGCAUGGCAUGCAUUACAAGUAAUGCAUGCCAUGCACAGGCAAGUUCCCCGAUGCCUACGAAGCCUCCUAUUACGUCUUUGGCCUGUACGGAGUUGAAUUCCCUGGCUAAGUUCCCAACGGCCGAAGGACAACAAUAGUGUCAUGCCAUCGUAUAUAUGCUUAAUGUAUGCUCCGCCGUAAGGCAUGACAUCACUGUUCCCUACCUGCACAACCCCAACGUGCUUGGUCAAAGCCACCUCGACAAUCAAAGGGAGGAAGCGCCAGCAUCACGCCAUAAGCAAAUAAAACAUUUUGGUUUGUCAAUUAAAUAAUGGCUACACUUACUAAUGGGUAACCCUGGGAAAGCGUAACGGCCACCAAAGUUACAGUACGUUUGGAACAUUGCUUCGGCUGUACGGAAGGUACGAUUUGCGCUGGCGGAGGCCUUCGCCACAGACCUGCAGGUUGUUAACAACGGGCUUCGCUUGACACAGGAAACCUGGCAUAGGUUCAAGCUAUUCAAAGCAUGCAGCAGCUCUAACUCAAUUACCAGGCUCCAACUCCUUAUCCUC
This 573-nucleotide long non-coding RNA is filed under the name Volvox carteri. RNAcentral's name for it is "long non-coding RNA (VCAR_LNC001534)". The record is from RNAcentral. Lineage: Eukaryota; Viridiplantae; Chlorophyta; Chlorophyceae; Chlamydomonadales; Volvocaceae.